GAGGGGAGGCCAGAUCCUGGGCUGUGUCCCCGGCACCCUGUGCUCCCGGGCCUUUACUGUUGGAUUGGCGCUCCCGCCGGGCAGCCCCCU
RNAcentral lists this microRNA precursor (90 nucleotides) under Canis lupus dingo (dingo). RNAcentral's name for it is "mir-8799 microRNA precursor family". It matches the Rfam family "mir-8799 microRNA precursor family". The record is from Rfam by way of RNAcentral. Lineage: Eukaryota; Metazoa; Chordata; Mammalia; Carnivora; Canidae.